This 212-nucleotide long non-coding RNA is filed under the name Gossypium raimondii (Peruvian cotton). RNAcentral's name for it is "long non-coding RNA (GRAI_LNC004968)". Lineage: Eukaryota; Viridiplantae; Streptophyta; Magnoliopsida; Malvales; Malvaceae. The record is from RNAcentral.
GCCUGAUAAUGAAGAUAUGGCAAUUUAGGCUAAUUUGGUAACUAAUCUUAGAAGAUUGAGGGAAUCAUAUCUUGUAAAGAUUUAGAUUAGAUUUGAUAUGACAUAUCUUGUAAAUCCCUAAAACAAAGGGAUAUGGUUAAUCUCGUCCGUCGAUGUAAAUGUAUCUUAACCGUUGGUUUUGGGGAGCUCAACUAUAAAUAGAGAGCCUCCCC